AGAACCUCCUGGCCCUGACCGUUUCCUGUUCUGGACUCCCCAGAUGGAGACUCCAUCUAAUGGGUCUGUUACAGCCUGUCUUCCCAACGCUUACGCACUCAUCUACUGCCAAGAAGCUAGAGCCAACUGCCUCUGGGCAUACAUGUUAUACAGACCUGCCUCGCCAGACUAACAACUAGCUCUAGCCCUGACGCCCAUGACCCCGAAGCCCCCAAACUUCAGAAGGCCCCUUCUGCUGUGCCCCAGCACUCCUCAACCCUGCCCGCCCUUCCGUCUGUCGGCCUCACUUCCUGACUGGUGAGUUUCAAACCCACAACCCACACCGUACUACCUCUUACACCUCCUGCCCCCUCUAGCGUUGGCCCUUCAGCUCUGACAGCCAGCCCUGGGUAUGAUUCCUGUCAGGCGACCUUAAUAAGAGUUCUCACAGCCUCUGUGGGAGGUAGCUAAUUAAGAUGGGUGUUGGUUCUGGGAGAAUGUGGCC
RNAcentral lists this long non-coding RNA (484 nucleotides) under Cricetulus griseus (Chinese hamster). RNAcentral's name for it is "lncRNA (ENSCGRG00000024175.1)". Lineage: Eukaryota; Metazoa; Chordata; Mammalia; Rodentia; Cricetidae. The record is from RNAcentral.